AGCGUACACGGUGGAUGCCCUGGCAGUCAGAGGCGAUGAAGGACGUGCUAAUCUGCGAAAAGCGUCGGUAAGGUGAUAUGAACCGUUAUAACCGGCGAUGUCCGAAUGGGGAAACCCAGUGUGAUUCGUCACACUAUCGUUAACUGAAUACAUAGGUUAACGAGGCGAACCGGGGGAACUGAAACAUCUAAGUACCCCGAGGAAAAGAAAUCAACCGAGAUUCCCCCAGUAGCGGCGAGCGAACGGGGAGCAGCCCAGAGUCUGAAUCAGCUUGUGUGUUAGUGGAACGGUCUGGAAAGUCCGACGGUACAGGGUGAUAGUCCCGUACACCAAAAUGCACAGGUUGUGAACUCGAAGAGUAGGGCGGGACACGUGGUAUCCUGUCUGAAUAUGGGGGGACCAUCCUCCAAGGCUAAAUACUCCUGACUGACCGAUAGUGAACCAGUACCGUGAGGGAAAGGCGAAAAGAACCCCGGCGAGGGGAGUGAAAAAGAACCUGAAACCGUGUACGUACAAGCAGYGGGAGCACCUUCGGGUGUGACUGCGUACCUUUUGUAUAAUGGGUCAGCGACUUAUAUUCUGUAGCAAGGUUAACCGUAUAGGGGAGCCGCAGGGAAACCGAGUCUUAACUGGGCGUUAAGUUGCAGGGUAUAGACCCGAAACCCGGUGAUCUAGCCAUGGGCAGGUUGAAGGUUGGGUAACACUAACUGGAGGACCGAACCGACUAAUGUUGAAAAAUUAGCGGAUGACUUGUGGCUGGGGGUGAAAGGCCAAUCAAACCGGGAGAUAGCUGGUUCUCCCCGAAAGCUAUUUAGGUAGCGCCUCGUGAACUCAUCUUCGGGGGUAGAGCACUGUUUCGGCUAGGGGGUCAUCCCGACUUACCAACCCGAUGCAAACUACGAAUACCGAAGAAUGUUAUCACGGGAGACACACGGCGGGUGCUAACGUCCGUCGUGAAGAGGGAAACAACCCAGACCGCCAGCUAAGGUCCCAAAGUCAUGGUUAAGUGGGAAACGAUGUGGGAAGGCACAGACAGCCAGGAUGUUGGCUUAGAAGCAGCCAUCAUUUAAAGAAAGCGUAAUAGCUCACUGGUCGAGUCGGCCUGCGCGGAAGAUGUAACGGGGCUAAACCAUGCACCGAAGCUGCGGCAGCGACACUAUGUGUUGUUGGGUAGGGGAGCGUUCUGUAAGCCUGCGAAGGUGUGCUGUGAGGCAUGCUGGAGGUAUCAGAAGUGCGAAUGCUGACAUAAGUAACGAUAAAGCGGGUGAAAAGCCCGCUCGCCGGAAGACCAAGGGUUCCUGUCCAACGUUAAUCGGGGCAGGGUGAGUCGACCCCUAAGGCGAGGCCGAAAGGCGUAGUCGAUGGGAAACAGGUUAAUAUUCCUGUACUUGGUGUUACUGCGAAGGGGGGACGGAGAAGGCUAUGUUAGCCGGGCGACGGUUGUCCCGGUUUAAGCAUGUAGGCUGGUUGUCCAGGCAAAUCCGGAUAAUCAAGGCUGAGGUGUGAUGACGAGGCACUACGGUGCUGAAGUAACAAAUGCCCUGCUUCCAGGAAAAGCCUCUAAGCAUCAGGUAACAUCAAAUCGUACCCCAAACCGACACAGGUGGUCAGGUAGAGAAUACCAAGGCGCUUGAGAGAACUCGGGUGAAGGAACUAGGCAAAAUGGUGCCGUAACUUCGGGAGAAGGCACGCUGGUGUGUAGGUGAAGUCCCUGCGGAUGGAGCUGAGACCAGUCGAAGAUACCAGCUGGCUGCAACUGUUUAUUAAAAACACAGCACUGUGCAAACACGAAAGUGGACGUAUACGGUGUGACGCCUGCCCGGUGCCGGAAGGUUAAUUGAUGGGGUUAUCCGUAAGGAGAAGCUCUUGAUCGAAGCCCCGGUAAACGGCGGCCGUAACUAUAACGGUCCUAAGGUAGCGAAAUUCCUUGUCGGGUAAGUUCCGACCUGCACGAAUGGCGUAAUGAUGGCCAGGCUGUCUCCACCCGAGACUCAGUGAAAUUGAACUCGCUGUGAAGAUGCAGUGUACCCGCGGCAAGACGGAAAGACCCCGUGAACCUUUACUAUAGCUUGACACUGAACAUUGAGCCUUGAUGUGUAGGAUAGGUGGGAGGCUUUGAAGCGUGGACGCCAGUCUGCGUGGAGCCAACCUUGAAAUACCACCCUUUAAUGUUUGAUGUUCUAACGUUGGCCCCUUACCGGGGUUGCGGACAGUGUCUGGUGGGUAGUUUGACUGGGGCGGUCUCCUCCCAAAGCGUAACGGAGGAGCACGAAGGUUAGCUAAUCCUGGUCGGACAUCAGGAGGUUAGUGCAAUGGCAUAAGCUAGCUUGACUGCGAGCGUGACGGCGCGAGCAGGUGCGAAAGCAGGUCAUAGUGAUCCGGUGGUUCUGAAUGGAAGGGCCAUCGCUCAACGGAUAAAAGGUACUCCGGGGAUAACAGGCUGAUACCGCCCAAGAGUUCAUAUCGACGGCGGUGUUUGGCACCUCGAUGUCGGCUCAUCACAUCCUGGGGCUGAAGUAGGUCCCAAGGGUAUGGCUGUUCGCCAUUUAAAGUGGUACGCGAGCUGGGUUUAGAACGUCGUGAGACAGUUCGGUCCCUAUCUGCCGUGGGCGCUGGAGAAUUGAGGGGGGCUGCUCCUAGUACGAGAGGACCGGAGUGGACGCAUCACUGGUGUUCGGGUUGUCAUGCCAAUGGCACUGCCCGGUAGCUAAAUGCGGAAGAGAUAAGUGCUGAAAGCAUCUAAGCACGAAACUUGCCCCGAGAUGAGUUCU
This 2771-nucleotide ribosomal RNA is filed under the name Klebsiella pneumoniae. Its description in RNAcentral is "bacterial LSU rRNA". It matches the Rfam family "Bacterial large subunit ribosomal RNA". The record is from RNAcentral. Lineage: Bacteria; Pseudomonadati; Pseudomonadota; Gammaproteobacteria; Enterobacterales; Enterobacteriaceae.